GUGGGGAAUCUUAGACAAUGGGGGAAACCCUGAUCUAGCCAUGCCGCGUGAGCGAUGAAGGCCUUAGGGUUGUAAAGCUCUUUCAGCUGGGAAGAUAAUGACGGUACCAGCAGAAGAAGCCCCGGCUAACUCCGUGCCAGCAGCCGCGGUAAUACGGAGGGGGCUAGCGUUGUUCGGAAUUACUGGGCGUAAAGCGCACGUAGGCGGACUGGAAAGUCAGGGGUGAAAUCCCGGGGCUCAACCCCGGAACUGCCUUUGAAACUCCCAGUCUUGAGUUCGAGAGAGGUGAGUGGAAUUCCGAGUGUAGAGGUGAAAUUCGUAGAUAUUCGGAGGAACACCAGUGGCGAAGGCGGCUCACUGGCUCGAUACUGACGCUGAGGUGCGAAAGCGUGGGGAGCAAACAGGAUUAGAAACCCUGGUAGUCC
Molecule: ribosomal RNA, 425 nt
Filed under: uncultured bacterium
Lineage: Bacteria
Description: partial 16S ribosomal RNA
Rfam family: Bacterial small subunit ribosomal RNA
Source: RNAcentral